Molecule: ribosomal RNA, 491 nt
Filed under: uncultured bacterium
Lineage: Bacteria
Description: partial 16S ribosomal RNA
Rfam family: Bacterial small subunit ribosomal RNA
Source: RNAcentral
AGUGAACGCUGGCGGUAGGCCUAACACAUGCAAGUCGAACGGCAGCACAGUAAGAGCUUGCUCUUACGGGUGGCGAGUGGCGGACGGGUGAGGAAUACAUCGGAAUCUACUUUUUCGUGGGGGAUAACGUAGGGAAACUUACGCUAAUACCGCAUACGACCUACGGGUGAAAGCAGGGGAUCUUCGGACCUUGCGCGAUUGAAUGAGCCGAUGUCGGAUUAGCUAGUUGGCGGGGUAAAGGCCCACCAAGGCGACGAUCCGUAGCUGGUCUGAGAGGAUGAUCAGCCACACUGGAACUGAGACACGGUCCAGACUCCUACGGGAGGCAGCAGUGGGGAAUAUUGGACAAUGGGCGCAAGCCUGAUCCAGCCAUACCGCGUGGGUGAAGAAGGUCUUCGGGUUGUAAAGCCCUUUUGUUGGGAAAGAAAAGCAGCAGGUUAAGACCCCGCUGUUCUGACGGUACCCAAAGAAUAAACACCGGCUAACUUCGU